Long non-coding RNA from Mirounga angustirostris (Northern elephant seal), 504 nucleotides. RefSeq lists it as uncharacterized. The record is from RefSeq and is a predicted model, not a curated record. The transcript is spliced from 3 exons. NCBI's taxonomy places the organism in Eukaryota, Metazoa, Chordata, Mammalia, Carnivora, Phocidae.
GCAGGGGGCCUGGGCAGGUGGGAACAGUUGCUGGGAGAAGUCACGUUGAACUCAGUACCCAGUUUGGACACACAGAUGAUGUCUCUACGCUGCGUGCCAGAGCCACAUUCUGAGGAGCACUGAUACAGAGGAAGGGGUCCCAAGCUGCAGGCGCGCAUGUCCGGGGGACGGCUUCCUGCUGCACAGCUCUGCUCACCGGUCCCUGCUCCUGCUCCCACCUGGCCCGCCCCGUGGGCCUCCCCGCUCCCGAGGCAGACCACAGACCGGCGCUGGAUCCCUGUCCCACACUCGGCGGAGCACUGUUGAGAAGCCACACAGAGCCCCUGAUGCCCCGCACCCUCUCGGCUUCCUCCGCCACCUCCCACCUCCGCAAGGGAAGGAGCCCCUGGCUUCUCUCUGCUUGGCCCAUUUGCUGUGCUCAACGGGGGUGUGGAAGGCUGAACCAAGAAACCAAGACUGGAACAGGGACCGAAGACUCGGAGAAUCUGGAGAGCUCACCGAGAU